Molecule: ribosomal RNA, 291 nt
Filed under: Aplanochytrium sp. PBS07
Lineage: Eukaryota; Bigyra; Thraustochytrida; Thraustochytriidae
Description: partial Eukaryotic large subunit ribosomal RNA
Rfam family: Eukaryotic large subunit ribosomal RNA
Source: RNAcentral
AAAGAAACUAACGAGGAUUCCGUUAGUAACGGCGAGUGAAGCGGGAAGAGCUCAAAUUUGAAAUCUGGUGGCCUCAGGUCAUCCGAGUUGUAAUCUAUAGAAGUGUUUUCCGUGCUGGCUCAUGUACAAGUCCCUUGGAACAGGGCGUCAUAGAGGGUGAGAAUCCCGUCCUUGACAUGAACUACCAGUGCUCUGUGAUACAUUUUCAACGAGUCGAGUUGUUUGGGAAUGCAGCUCAAAAUGGGUGGUAAAUUCCAUCUAAAGCUAAAUAUUGGCGAGAGACCGAUAGCG